Molecule: ribosomal RNA, 253 nt
Filed under: uncultured bacterium
Lineage: Bacteria
Description: partial 16S ribosomal RNA
Rfam family: Bacterial small subunit ribosomal RNA
Source: RNAcentral
UACGUAGGGGGCGAGCGUUGUCCGGAGUUACUGGGCGUGAAGCGCACGCAGGCGGUCUGCUAAGUUUGGAGUGACAGUUGGUGGCUUAACUGCCAAAGUGCUUCGAAAACUGACAGACUUGAGGGCUUCAGAGGGACACGGAAUUCCGGGUGGAGUGGUGAAAUGCGUAGAGAUCCGGAGGAACACCAAAGGCGAAGGCAGUGUCCUGGGGAGUACCUGACGCUCAGGUGCGAAAGCCAGGGGAGCGAACGGG